UAUUUUAGUAUUUAUAUUAAGUAUAUUUAAAAUUUAGAUUCCCGCAUUCCCAGGGCGCUUGUAUCUCGCUUUGCGAGAUUAUGCGCACCUAGAGCGUACACGAUGAUACCCGAAAGAUGGUGAACUAUGCCUGGCCAGGACGAAGCCAGGGGAAACCCUGGUGGAGGUCCGCAGCGAUUCUGACGUGCAAAUCGAUCGUCAGAGCUGGGUAUAGGGGCGAAAGACCAAUCGAACCAUCUAGUAGCUGGUUCCCUCUGAAGUUUCCCUCAGGAUAGCUUGCGCUCGGUUGAGAAGAGUCUCAUCCGGUAGAGCGAAUGAUUAGAGGCAUUGGGGUCGAAACGACCUCAACCUAUUCUCAAACUCCAAAUAGAUGAGACCUCCGGCUUUCUUAAAAUUGAAGCCGUGGGAUUUGGAUCAGAGUGCCAAGUGGGCCAAUUUUGGUAAGCAGAACUGGCGA
Molecule: ribosomal RNA, 457 nt
Filed under: Tanindrazanus varicolor
Lineage: Eukaryota; Metazoa; Arthropoda; Insecta; Hemiptera; Reduviidae
Description: eukaryotic LSU rRNA
Rfam family: Eukaryotic large subunit ribosomal RNA
Source: RNAcentral